RNAcentral lists this ribosomal RNA (407 nucleotides) under uncultured bacterium. RNAcentral describes it as "partial 16S ribosomal RNA". It matches the Rfam family "Bacterial small subunit ribosomal RNA", at positions 30 to 526 of the family's 1533-position model. The record is from RNAcentral.
AUUGAACGCUGGCGGCAGGCCUAACACAUGCAAGUCGAGCGGAGCGGCGGACGGGUGAGUAAUGCCUAGGAAUCUGCCUGGUAGUGGGGGAUAACGUCCGGAAACGGGCGCUACUACCGCAUACUAUCAGAUGAGCCUAGGUCGGAUGAGCUAGUGGGUGGGUGAAAGGCCUACCAGGGCGACGAACCGUAACUGGUCUGAGAGGAUGAUCAGUCACACUUGAACUGAGACACGGUCCAUACUCCUACGUUGGGCACCGGUGGGGAAUCUUGGACAAUGGGCUAAAGUCUGAUCCAGCCAGUCCGAGUGUGUUAAGAAGGUCUUCGGAUUGUAAAGCACUUUAAGUUGGGAGGCGUUACCAACAGAAUAAGCACCGGCUAACUUCGUGCCAGCAGCCGCGGUAAUAC